CAAACGACUCUCGGCAUUGGAUAUCUCGGCUCUUGCAUCGAUGAAGAACGUAGUGAAAUGCGAUACUUGGUGUGAAUUGCAGAAUCUCGUGAACCAUUGAGUCUUUGAACGCAAGUUGUGCCCGAGGCCUUGUGGCCGAGGGCACGCCUGCUUGGGUGUCAUGG
RNAcentral lists this ribosomal RNA (164 nucleotides) under Zingiber isanense. RNAcentral describes it as "5.8S ribosomal RNA". It matches the Rfam family "5.8S ribosomal RNA". Rfam says of the family: 5.8S ribosomal RNA (5.8S rRNA) is a component of the large subunit of the eukaryotic ribosome. It is transcribed by RNA polymerase I as part of the 45S precursor that also contains 18S and 28S rRNA. The record is from RNAcentral. Lineage: Eukaryota; Viridiplantae; Streptophyta; Magnoliopsida; Zingiberales; Zingiberaceae.